RNAcentral lists this ribosomal RNA (569 nucleotides) under uncultured bacterium. RNAcentral's name for it is "partial 16S ribosomal RNA". It matches the Rfam family "Bacterial small subunit ribosomal RNA", at positions 355 to 1375 of the family's 1533-position model. The record is from RNAcentral.
UGGGGAAUAUUGCACAAUGGGCGCAAGCCUGAUGCAGCGACGCCGCGUGAGGGAUGACGGCCUUCGGGUUGUAAACCUCUUUCAAUAGGGACGAAGCGCAAGUGACGGUACCUAUAGAAGAAGGACCGGCCAACUACGUGCCAGCAGCCGCGGUAAUACGUAGGGUCCGAGCGUUGUCCGGAAUUACUGGGCGUAAAGAGCUCGUAGGUGGUUUGUCGCGUUGUUCGUGAAAACUCACAGCUUAACUGUGGGCGUGCGGGCGAUACGGGCAGACUAGAGUACUGCAGGGGAGACUGGAAUUCCUGGUGUAGCGGUGGAAUGCGCAGAUAUCAGGAGGAACACCGGUGGCGAAGGCGGGUCUCUGGGCAGUAACUGACGCUGAGGAGCGAAAGCGUGGGGAGCGAACAGGAUUAGAUACCCUGGUAGUCCACGCCGUAAACGGUGGGUACUAGGUGUGGGUUUCCUUCCUUGGGGAUCCGUGCCGUAGCUAACGCAUUAAGUACCCCGCCUGGGGAGUACGGCCGCAAGGCUAAAACUUAAAUGAAUUGACGGGGUCAUAGCUGUUUCCU